RNAcentral lists this small RNA (1222 nucleotides) under Pan troglodytes (chimpanzee). Its description in RNAcentral is "retained intron". Lineage: Eukaryota; Metazoa; Chordata; Mammalia; Primates; Hominidae. The record is from RNAcentral.
GGGAUAGCUUUACGGCUUCUGGGAGCUGCUGCUUCGCUGUGAGAAGUAUCCGCGACGAGCUAUCCGGGAAAGGGCCGAAUGCGAUCAAACCUAAUCCGCGAGACUUGCUAAGGUUCUGUGCUACAAAUUGAUGUUUAGAUAAACUUGAGUGAAAUGACUCUUCAGGAAUUGGUGCAUAAGGCUGCCUCCUGUUAUAUGGACAGAGUAGCUGUAUGUUUUGAUGAAUGCAACAACCAGCUUCCAGUUUACUACACCUACAAGACUGUGGUUAAUGCUGCUUCUGAAUUAUCAAAUUUUCUGCUGUUACACUGUGACUUUCAAGGAAUUCGGGAAAUUGGUCUCUACUGCCAACCUGGGAUAGACUUACCCUCUUGGAUUUUAGGAAUUCUCCAAGUCCCAGCUGCUUAUGUACCUAUCGAGCCAGAUUCACCACCGUCAUUAUCAACUCAUUUUAUGAAAAAAUGUAAUCUAAAGUAUAUCCUUGUUGAAAAAAAACAAAUUAAUGUAAGUCUGGAUGUUUCAAUUGUUUUUUGCCUGUAUUACAUUUAUUUCAAUUGAAACAUUCCUUCCUUCUCCCACCUGGAUUCCUAAGUCUGCUAAAUGUGGCAAGGUUUCUGAGUCUUUGCACUGUGACAUUUUUAGGGUUGAGUAAUUGUUGUGAGGAGUGUUCCGUAUAUUAUAGGAUAUUUGGCAAUAUCUUUGACCUCCACUCGCUAGACCUCAGUAGCACCUCCCAGUCAUAACAACCAAAAAUCUCCAGACAUUGCCAAUUGUCCCCCGGAGGGGCUCUCCACCCCUCACACUCCAUUGUGAGCCACUAUUCUGUGGUAUGAACAGAUCUGUUAGCCUUCUAAUAAUAUAUUAUGCAUUGUUUUGAAUUUCUCUUUCCAAAGUAUUUCCUAUACUGCAAAAUUUUAUAAUACUUGGAACUUUCAUAUUUAUGGCAAUUACAUUGGUCAGCAACACUGAAGAAUUAUAACUAAGCUUGCAUUUUGAAAAAGAGACUGGUACUUAGAAGAGAUCUUUCCAGAAAAGUAAAUUUAUUGUUUUUUUAUUUUUAAAUGAUUGCCAACCAAAGAUAUAACCAAGAAACUCUGUUUCUGGGGCAAGAAUUGGUGUUAUAUCUUCAGCAAGAUGCAGCCCAUGCUUCAUUGUUUAUUUAUUAUUUAUAAAAUAUUGUUUUACUAAAGGGGAAGAACAUUAUAAAAAUAUAUUCAAUUUA